Macaca mulatta (Rhesus monkey) is the source of this 2612-nucleotide long non-coding RNA. RefSeq lists it as uncharacterized. The record is from RefSeq and is a predicted model, not a curated record. NCBI's taxonomy places the organism in Eukaryota, Metazoa, Chordata, Mammalia, Primates, Cercopithecidae.
CUGGAAUUGCAUGCACAAUGGCGUGUAUCUGUGCUUAUGGAGGCUGUGCUGGAGACAGGGCCCGUGGUCUUCAGAUUUUCAGAGAAACCUGGGAUCAAAAAGAGUUUCAGAAUCACUGUCCUGGUUUCAGCACUGAAAAUCCCACGUCCUGGGAUGACUGCUGUUGGUAGCAGGCAGCAUAGUCCCCAAAGGAGGAGAAGAUUGAGUUUACAUUCCUGGCGGUUCUCCUAUCUCAGCAGGAGGAAAAAGGCUAUGGGAAGUGGGAACAGGGUACAAAGCUCAGAAACGGACUUGGAGAAGGCUGAAGAGGAAGUCCUGGGACAGAAUGAGGUGAUUGUGACAGCAGCGCUUCAACGUUCUCGCCGGAGGUUCCAACGCCAGAUCCCUGCAGAAGGCACCUGUCUUCCCACUUUCCCUUUAGUUGACGCCACCGUUUCUGGGACAAGUUGAGGAAGGAGCACCAAGCAGUAGAAGUUUCUGAGGAGUGAAAGGGUGGCCAGAAAGACCCCCUCACCCAAAAUUCUGUGCUGAUGUUUAGGGUGCUUUUGUCCGUCAAGCCCUUUGGAAUGUGUGGCUCCAGCUUCCCCGGCUGCUUUUCACCCUAAGGACCAGGCAUCCGCAGACUUCCAGAGACGACAGCAUAUAAUUCCUGUAGGUGUCAGUCCUUUGAGACGCAGUUCUCCCAGAGCAAGCCCUGCUUCCUAUAAGCAGCCACACUUGUCGCUCAGGCCCCGCUGGGUCCUGUCUUCUGUUGACAUCAAGCAAGGCAGGGAGGAGCAUGGACAAUGGUGUCAGAGACACUCCCUUUUGAGCAUUUGCCUCUACAGAACCUGGCCAGGGCCAUGGGAUGCCCUGUUUGGCCACCUGAGGCCUGAAUCCAUCGGGAUCUGUAAGAAGCGACCACUGACAUUGAGAAUGGCACCAGCCACCUCCAGAAGGGGCAGGUCAUCUGACUCACUGGCCGCACACUUCACCUGCGGAAGAAAGCCCAACGCUUACCCAGAUGAAGAAAGAGGCAUCUGUGCUAAAUUAGGUGACCGAAGACCAAAGACCUUUUGACUUAAGACCAAAAAGCAGCCACAGGGCUCCCUUCCCUCCUGUCAAAAUUGUUAAGGUGCAAAAGACACCCCCACCCACCAGCCUCUUCAAUUCCAGGCAGAACCCAGCCCUGUGCCUGGCUGUCAUCAAGGGCACCAGGCUGGUGUUUUGGCAACAAACCAGCUUUCAAAGUGACAUCAAAUUGCUGUGAAUCACCGAUCUGAUUCAAAUGAAGGCUUAGGUGGAUUUAGAGAUAGCUGAUUGCCUCAGAUUAGUGCACAAUUGCCUCAGAAAGUCAUUUACCUCUGGGAGUUUCAGGUACUAAACACUUAGAGUUUGCAUUUAAACCCUAAACUGGGACAGGGGCAGCCAUUGUUUUGCUGGCAGGACCCAGUGAAGGCUGACCCCUCGUACCUACGACUAUUCUGUGAUUGGUCCCUCCUCAUCUCCCUGCCCCAUCCCAUCUAAGCCCGGUUCAUUUUAUUUCAAAGAUGAAAACGACUCUCGAAGUUGUGAUUUGGUCUCCCCGGUCACGCCCCUCAUGAGUGGAGCCCCGUGUCCCCCGUAUCUGUCUGUGUUCUUCACCAGGAGGUUUUUCCAUUUUCUGUGACUUUUGUUGCUGCGAAGUUCUUCCUGGUCCUGGGUCCCAACUGACCACCUUCCAGCCCCAGUCAUCCUGCAGGUCCUCAUGGUGGAAGUCCACUCCCCUUCUCAUGCCAUGUUCCUUCACAGAUGUGAACAGCUCUCUCUGUCCUGUCUUUUAAAGACCCAGACCCUGAUCCCCUCCUACUACCAAACCAUGGUUCUGGAACUCUUCAUGUCUCAUCCAUCCUCCCUCUAGCUUUUCCUACUGGGGGCCUCCUUCUCAGAAUGGAGCAGCUACAUACACCAGGGGUGGAUUCAAUAAUGUCACCUCCCUUGUUUCAGCCAGUAGACCUCUAUUGAUUUAGUCUAAAGUCACAUUGGCCUUUUGGCAGCCUGUCCCUAUGGUGACUCAUAAUGAGGUUCAUUUGGAGUCAACCAAAACUCUUAUGAAGGACACUGCCUGGACACAUCCACCCCUGCCCCCAAGCAGGUAGCUGUUUUGUUGAGCUUCGGAGCAAAAUGUCCGACUUUUACAUUUGUCCCUGUUACAUUUCUCUGUUUUAAUCUGCCCCAUCAUUCCUAUAGUUUUCUGUCAUCUGGGAACCUGUUGCAAAUGCCUUCUGUUGAUUGAUCCACAUUAUUGUUUACAGAGCAAUUUUGUUAUGGAAUCACCUAACCAUGUCAGCCUACAGCUUGCUUCCCUCUGCCUUGUUCAGAAAGGUCACAGAAGGCUGCUUGUUCACAGCUUUGCUGAAACAUCUUAAAGUGUUGGGCCAGGAGAAGUGUUAGAGACCAUCUGCUUCAAGCCCUUCAUAUUUCAGAUGAAGAAAUUGAGGCCAGGUGAGGUAAAGGGGCUGCUAAAAGAUUAUACAGUGAUCUUGUCUGCAGUAGAGCCAAAGAUCAGGACUCAGAGAUUCCCAUACCCAAGGACCCUUCGGUUAUUUGCCCAGCAAGGAAACCACUGGUACACUGCAUCCAGUCUGCUGGAA